RNAcentral lists this signal recognition particle RNA (265 nucleotides) under Chloroflexota bacterium. Its description in RNAcentral is "Chloroflexi bacterium signal recognition particle sRNA large type". It matches the Rfam family "Bacterial large signal recognition particle RNA". Rfam says of the family: The signal recognition particle (SRP) is a universally conserved ribonucleoprotein involved in the co-translational targeting of proteins to membranes. Lineage: Bacteria; Bacillati; Chloroflexota. The record is from RNAcentral.
UCGUGCUAGACGGGGAGCUAGCGGUGCCCUGUACCCGCAAUCCGCUAUAGCGGGGUUGAAGUCCCGCUCGAGGUCCAGGGUCCGCGGAGACUGCUGUCAGCAUGUCAGCGUCGAGAGCCUGGCCCUGCGCGGCGAGACGCUGCGAACCCCGUCAGGCCCGGAAGGGAGCAGCGGUAAGUAGUUAGUUUCGGGCGCCGCAGAUAAACCGGGCUGGAGCUGACGGCUGGCGGCAAGUCUGCGGUCCGGAUCGACAGUGGGUGCACGG